GACGGGUCCCGCACAAACAGCGGAGCGUGUGGUUUAAUUCGUUGCUACGCGAAGAACCUUACCCAGGUUUGACAUAUAGGUGGUAGGGAUCUGAAAAGUGACCGACCCUUCGGGGAGCCUAUACAGGUGCUGCAUGGCUGUCGUCAGCUCGUGUCGUGAGAUGUCCGGUUAAGUCCGGCAACGAGCGCAACCCUUGCCGUAUGUUAUAUGUGUCAUACGGGACUGCCGAUAUAAAGUCGGAGGAAGAUGAGGAUGACGUCAAGUCAGCAUGGCCUUUAUAUCUGGGGCGACACACACGCUACAAUGGCCGGUACAAUGGGUUGCAAAGCCGCGAGGUAGAGCCAAUCCCGAAAGCCGGUCUAAGUUCAGAUUGUAGGCUGCAACUCGCCUACAUGAAGCCGGAGUUGCUAGUAACCGCGCGUCAGCAUUAGUGCGGUGAAUACGUUCCCGGGGAUU
RNAcentral lists this ribosomal RNA (456 nucleotides) under uncultured Anaerolineaceae bacterium. RNAcentral describes it as "bacterial SSU rRNA". It matches the Rfam family "Bacterial small subunit ribosomal RNA", at positions 912 to 1382 of the family's 1533-position model. Lineage: Bacteria; Bacillati; Chloroflexota; Anaerolineae; Anaerolineales; Anaerolineaceae. The record is from RNAcentral.